Molecule: ribosomal RNA, 468 nt
Filed under: uncultured bacterium
Lineage: Bacteria
Description: partial 16S ribosomal RNA
Rfam family: Bacterial small subunit ribosomal RNA
Source: RNAcentral
GACGAACGCUGGCGGCGUGCUUAACACAUGCAAGUCGAACGGUGAAGCUCCAGCUUGCUGGAGUGGAUCAGUGGCGAACGGGUGAGUAACACGUGAGCAACCUGCCCCUGACUCUGGAAUAAGCGCUGGAAACGGCGUCUAAUACUGGAUACGAGAAGGGUCCGCAUGGGCACUUUCUGGAAAGUUUUUCGGUUGGGGAUGGGCUCGCGGCCUAUCAGCUUGUUGGUGAGGUAAUGGCUCACCAAGGCGACGAAGGGUAGCCGGCCUGAGAGGGCGACCGGCCACACUGGGACUGAGACACGGCCCAGACUCCUACGGGAGGCAGCAGUGGGGAAUAUUGCACAAUGGGCGAAAGCCUGAUGCAGCGACGCCGCGUGAGGGAUGACGGCCUUCGGGUUGUAAACCUCUUUCAGCAGGGAAGAAGCGAAAGUGACGGUACCUGCAGAAGAAGCACCGGCUAACUACGUG